ACCUGAGAGUCAAAGGGAGUGUGGACUUGAGACAUUCCAUGUCAUGUGCAUUAUAGCAUUAUUUUGAUCAGAAAAGGAUCACUUCUUUCUCCUUAUAUGUUAAGUUUGAUGCCUUUUCCAAUGACAUCUAUUGGUGCUUUUCCACUGAGACUUACCCCCAAAGUAGUGCGUCACCAGUGUUUUAUGUUAAUGUAAGCUUUAAUGUUAUGGUGUUUCCAUUAGGAGUGUGACACUAAAGACUUGUGGCGGGCAGAUCAGCAACCUCUGCAUCAUGCAAGACUUUCUUUAUGAGAAGGUGUUAAAGUUCAGUUAGCCAUUGUUACGUACAGUCAGUGGCCUGUAGCCAUGAAGGGAUGCAUCGGGUCAACAACAAUAUCCAGAUACGCUGUGGCAUUCAAGCGUUGCUUAAUUGGUAUCAAGGGACCUAACGUGUGGCAGGAAAACAUUCCCUAUACCACCGCCACCAGCCUGUACCGUUGACACCAGGUAGGAUGGGGCCAUGGACUCUGCCAUCAGAAUGACAACAGGAACCAGGAUUCGUCAUGACCAGGCAAUGUUUUUCCACUCCUCAAUUGCCUAGUGUUGGUGAUCACGUGCCCACUAGUGCUGCUGCUUGUUAUUUUUAGCUGAUAGUGUGGGAGAAAGGUAGACUUGCUGAGGGAAAGAAAAAUAGAAAUACAUUAGCUAGCGAAAGAGGAGACUGGCAGCUGACCCUGAGUGGAGAUAACAGGUGGCCAUACAUCCCCAAGUAGGAACCACGGAACGGCCAGGCAAGCUGAAUGUAUGGCCAUGACUAAAUAUAUGCCAAGCGUAAGCAUGCAAUGCAGGCAUUAUUUUCAUAUCCAUAUGAGGAGAGUCUAGCCACUACUAUGUUAGAGCUAAAAGCAGAUAUGGGCGUUAUCCAGCCACUACUAUGUUAGAGCUAAAAGCAGAUAUGGGCGUUAUCCAUUGGGUUGAAAGAAAAUGGUGGCAGAACGCAUAGGGGGUUUUACUUCAUUUACAUAAAGGAUGGACCUAUGUAUUGUAUAUGCAUAAAAGCAGAGCCGGGGCCUAAGGAAGGCAGUUGUUGUCCGCGGACCGGCUCGGCUUUAUUACUCUAUUAAAGUCUAUAUUGAACUUA
This is a non-coding RNA of Salmo salar (Atlantic salmon), 1120 nucleotides long. NCBI's taxonomy places the organism in Eukaryota, Metazoa, Chordata, Actinopteri, Salmoniformes, Salmonidae. The record is from RefSeq and is a predicted model, not a curated record.